Molecule: ribosomal RNA, 377 nt
Filed under: uncultured bacterium
Lineage: Bacteria
Description: bacterial SSU rRNA
Rfam family: Bacterial small subunit ribosomal RNA
Source: RNAcentral
UAAUACAGAGGGGGCGAGCGUUAUUCGGAAUUAUUGGGCGUAAAGGGCGCGUAGGCGGCGAUUCAAGUGACGGGUGAAAUCCCUCGGCUUAACCGAGGAACUGCCUGUCAGACUGGAUUGCUUGAGGCCGGGAGAGGCGAGUGGAAUUCCCAGUGUAGCGGUGAAAUGCGUAGAUAUUGGGAGGAACACCAGUGGCGAAGGCGGCUCGCUGGACCGGUUCUGACGCUGAGGCGCGAAAGCGUGGGGAGCAAACAGGAUUAGAUACCCUGGUAGUCCACGCCGUAAACGAUGAGUGCUUGGUGUAGCGGGUAUCGACCCCUGCUGUGCCGAAGUCAACACAUUAAGCACUCCGCCUGGGGAGUACGGUCGCAAGACUG